AACGAACGCUGGCGGCAGGCUUAACACAUGCAAGUCGAGCGCCUCGCAAGAGGAGCCGCAGACGGGUGAGUAACGCGUGGGAACGUACCCUUAUCUUCGGAAUAGCUCUGGGAAACUGGAAGUAAUACCGAAUGUGCCCUUAGGGGGAAAGAUUUAUCGGAUAAGGAUCGGCCCGCGUUGGAUUAGCUAGUUGGUGGGGUAAAGGCCUACCAAGGCGACGAUCCAUAGCUGGUCUGAGAGGAUGAUCAGCCACAUUGGGACUGAGACACGGCCCAAACUCCUACGGGAGGCAGCAGUGGGGAAUAUUGGACAAUGGGCGCAAGCCUGAUCCAGCCAUGCCGCGUGAGUGAUGAAGGCCUUAGGGUUGUAAAGCUCUUUCACCGGAGAAGAUAAUGACGGUAUCCGGAGAAGAAGCCCCGGCUAACUUCGUG
RNAcentral lists this ribosomal RNA (431 nucleotides) under uncultured bacterium. RNAcentral's name for it is "partial 16S ribosomal RNA". It matches the Rfam family "Bacterial small subunit ribosomal RNA", at positions 29 to 507 of the family's 1533-position model. The record is from RNAcentral.